This 433-nucleotide ribosomal RNA is filed under the name uncultured bacterium. Its description in RNAcentral is "partial 16S ribosomal RNA". It matches the Rfam family "Bacterial small subunit ribosomal RNA", at positions 29 to 507 of the family's 1533-position model. The record is from RNAcentral.
AACGAACGCUGGCGGCAUGCCUAACACAUGCAAGUCGAACGAGACCUUCGGGUCUAGUGGCGCACGGGUGCGUAACGCGUGGGAACCUGCCCUUAGGUUCGGAAUAACUCCCCGAAAGGGGUGCUAAUACCGGAUAAUGUCUUCGGACCAAAGAUUUAUCGCCUUGGGAUGGGCCCGCGUUGGAUUAGCUAGUUGGUAGGGUAAAAGCCUACCAAGGCGACGAUCCAUAGCUGGUCUGAGAGGAUGAUCAGCCACACUGGGACUGAGACACGGCCCAGACUCUUACGGGAGGCAGCAGUGGGGAAUAUUGGACAAUGGGCGAAAGCCUGAUCCAGCAAUGCCGCGUGAGUGACGAAGGCCUUAGGGUUGUAAAGCUCUUUUACCCGGGAUGAUAAUGACAGUACCGGGAGAAUAAGCUCCGGCUAACUCCGUG